AGGAGAGGAUAAGCUCGUCGGAGAUGGUGGAGGCGAGGAUGAGGUCGCCGGCGACGGAUCUGUGAGUGAGAGUUAGAGAGAGUGAGAGGUUUGCAGAUCCUUCGUUAGAGAGUCAUCGAUGUCAAGGCAUUGGUCGGUGUCGGUGAGGCUUUGAUCGGCAUUGGCUUGCUUCGGCGAGGCAUGGCUGGCUUCAGAUCUCGUGGAGGAUGUGAGAGAGAGAGAGAGAGAGAGAGAGAGAGAGAGAGAGAGAGAGAGAGAGAGAGAGAGAGAGAGAGAGAGAGAGAGAGAGAGAGAGAGAGAGAGAGUAGAGAGUAGAGAGUAGAGAGAGAGAGUAGNNNNNNNNNNNNNNNNNNNNGAGAGAGAGAGAGAGAGAGGCCCGGUCGUCGAGGAAGAUGGUGACGGUGUAGUGCCGAUGCUCCUUGCUCGAGGGCGUCGGUGGCGACGCUGUCUUCCACCAUGGAAGUUCGUCGAGGUGAGAGAGAGGAAGAGAGAGGAGAGAUGAGAGAUGAGAGAUGAGUGAGAAGUGAUCAGGAAAGAAGAUAAGAAAGGAGUGGUGGGAAUAGAACG
RNAcentral lists this long non-coding RNA (567 nucleotides) under Fragaria vesca (wild strawberry). RNAcentral's name for it is "long non-coding RNA (FVES_LNC003172)". Lineage: Eukaryota; Viridiplantae; Streptophyta; Magnoliopsida; Rosales; Rosaceae. The record is from RNAcentral.